This 112-nucleotide ribosomal RNA is filed under the name Candidatus Portnoybacteria bacterium RIFCSPHIGHO2_01_FULL_40_12b. Lineage: Bacteria; Candidatus Portnoyibacteriota. The record is from RNAcentral. RNAcentral also lists the same sequence under 2 other names.
UAUGGGGAUUAUACCGAGAAUGCUCCACCUGUUCCCAUUCCGAACACAGAAGUGAAAUUUCUCAAGGCCGAUGAUAGUGGGUUUUUCCCGCGAAAGUAGGUCGUCCCCGUUU